UCGAGAAUAAUUCACAAUGGGGGCAACCCUGAUGGUGCAACGCCGCGUGGAGGAUGACGGUCUUCGGAUUGUAAACUCCUGUCAUCCGGGAGUAAGACCUGGCAGUUAAUAGCUGACAGGGUUGAUAGUACCGGAAGAGGAAGGGACGGCUAACUUCGUGCCAGCAGCCGCGGUAAUACGAAGGUCCCGAGCGUUGUUCGGAAUCACUGGGCGUAAAGGGAGCGUAGGCGGCGUGGUAAGUCAGAUGUGA
This 250-nucleotide ribosomal RNA is filed under the name uncultured bacterium. RNAcentral's name for it is "partial 16S ribosomal RNA". It matches the Rfam family "Bacterial small subunit ribosomal RNA", at positions 355 to 597 of the family's 1533-position model. The record is from RNAcentral.